RNAcentral lists this ribosomal RNA (253 nucleotides) under uncultured bacterium. Its description in RNAcentral is "partial 16S ribosomal RNA". It matches the Rfam family "Bacterial small subunit ribosomal RNA", at positions 524 to 776 of the family's 1533-position model. The record is from RNAcentral.
UACAGAGGGUGCGAGCGUUAAUCGGAAUUACUGGGCGUAAAGCGUGCGUAGACGGUUACGUAAGUCGGAUGUGAAAGCCCCGGGCUCAACCUGGGAAUUGCAUUCGAGACUGCGUAGCUAGGAUGCGGAAGAGGGAAGCGGAAUUUCCGGUGUAGCGGUGAAAUGCGUAGAUAUCGGAAGGAACACCAGUGGCGAAGGCGGCUCACUGGCCCGGAACUGACGCUGAGACGCGAAAGCGUGGGGAGCAAACAGG